UACAGAGGUCCCGAGCGUUGUUCGGAUUCAUUGGGCGUAAAGGGUGCGUAGGCGGCGGGGUAAGUUUGAUGUGAAAUCCCGGGGCUCAACCCUGGAAUUGCAUUGAAUACUACCUUGCUAGAGUACCGGAGAGGAAACUGGAAUUUACGGUGUAGCAGUGAAAUGCGUAGAGAUCGUAAGGAAGACCAGUGGCGAAGGCGAGUUUCUGGACGGUAACUGACGCUGAGACGCGAAAGCGUGGGGAGCAAACAGG
Molecule: ribosomal RNA, 253 nt
Filed under: uncultured bacterium
Lineage: Bacteria
Description: partial 16S ribosomal RNA
Rfam family: Bacterial small subunit ribosomal RNA
Source: RNAcentral